RNAcentral lists this ribosomal RNA (1371 nucleotides) under uncultured bacterium. Its description in RNAcentral is "bacterial SSU rRNA". It matches the Rfam family "Bacterial small subunit ribosomal RNA", at positions 28 to 1381 of the family's 1533-position model. The record is from RNAcentral.
GAUGAACGCUGGCGGCGUGCCUAAUACAUGCAAGUCGAGCGAACGGACGAGAAGCUUGCUUCUCUGAUGUUAGCGGCGGACGGGUGAGUAACACGUGGAUAACCUACCUAUAAGACUGGGAUAACUUCGGGAAACCGGAGCUAAUACCGGAUAAUAUUUUGAACCGCAUGGUUCAAAAGUGAAAGACGGUCUUGCUGUCACUUAUAGAUGGAUCCGCGCUGCAUUAGCUAGUUGGUAAGGUAACGGCUUACCAAGGCAACGAUGCAUAGCCGACCUGAGAGGGUGAUCGGCCACACUGGAACUGAGACACGGUCCAGACUCCUACGGGAGGCAGCAGUAGGGAAUCUUCCGCAAUGGGCGAAAGCCUGACGGAGCAACGCCGCGUGAGUGAUGAAGGUCUUCGGAUCGUAAAACUCUGUUAUUAGGGAAGAACAUAUGUGUAAGUAACUGUGCACAUCUUGACGGUACCUAAUCAGAAAGCCACGGCUAACUACGUGCCAGCAGCCGCGGUAAUACGUAGGUGGCAAGCGUUAUCCGGAAAUAUUGGGCGUAAGCGCGCGUAGGCGGUUUUUUAGUCUGAUGUGAAAGCCCACGGCUCCACCCGUGGAGGGUCAUUGGAAACUGGAAAACUUGAGUGCAGAAGAGGAAAGUGGAAUUCCAUGUGUAGCGGUGAAAUGCGCAGAGAUAUGGAGGAACACCAGUGGCGAAGGCGACUUUCUGGUCUGUAACUGACGCUGAUGUGCGAAAGCGUGGGGAUCAAACAGGAUUAGAUACCCUGGUAGUCCACGCCGUAAACGAUGAGUGCUAAGUGUUAGGGGGUUUCCGCCCCUUAGUGCUGCAGCUAACGCAUUAAGCACUCCGCCUGGGGAGUACGACCGCAAGGUUGAAACUCAAAGGAAUUGACGGGGACCCGCACAAGCGGUGGAGCAUGUGGUUUAAUUCGAAGCAACGCGAAGAACCUUACCAAAUCUUGACAUCCUUUGACAACUCUAGAGAUAGAGCCUUCCCCUUCGGGGGACAAAGUGACAGGUGGUGCAUGGUUGUCGUCAGCUCGUGUCGUGAGAUGUUGGGUUAAGUCCCGCAACGAGCGCAACCCUUAAGCUUAGUUGCCAUCAUUAAGUUGGGCACUCUAAGUUGACUGCCGGUGACAAACCGGAGGAAGGUGGGGAUGACGUCAAAUCAUCAUGCCCCUUAUGAUUUGGGCUACACACGUGCUACAAUGGACAAUACAAAGGGCAGCGAAACCGCGAGGUCAAGCAAAUCCCAUAAAGUUGUUCUCAGUUCGGAUUGUAGUCUGCAACUCGACUACAUGAAGCUGGAAUCGCUAGUAAUCGUAGAUCAGCAUGCUACGGUGAAUACGUUCCCGGGUCU